AGCGCGGUCCUCGGUCCCGGCUGGUCGUAUUGCACAAGGAGAUAUAACACUCCCCGGAGGGAGCUACAUUCUCCGAGUCUUUGUCCGGCCGCCUGAACCGAUGCUGGCCUGAUCGCGGAUGAGUGCACGGCGCGAAAAGCACCGCUGAUCACCCGCGAGCAAGUCUGGUCGCAAGCGCUUCCCUUUCAACAAUUUCACGUGCUGUUUGACUCUCUUUCCAAAGUGCUUUUCAUCUUUCGAUCACUCUACUUGUGCGCUAUCGGUCUCUGGCCAAUAUUUAGCUUUAGAUGAAAUUUACCACCCAUUUUGAGCUGCAUUCCCAAACAACUCGACUCGUCGAAGGGGUUUCACAUAGGUUUGGCGACCGGUCACAUACGGGGUUCUCACCCUCUAUGACACCCUGUUCCAAAGGACUUAAACCGGCACCGUGCCCGAAACACCCUCUGCAAAUUACAACUCGGACCCCAAAGGGUCAGAUUUCAAAUUUGAGCUGUUGCCGCUUCACUCGCCGUUACUGAGGCAAUCCCUGUUGGUUUCUUUUCCUCCGCUUAUUGAUAUGCUUAAGUUCAGCGGGUAUCCCUACCUGAUCCGAGGUCAACCGUUGAAUUANNNAAAAAUCGGGUNNUAUGNNGCCGGUCACGGGAGCGCACUUUCUGAACNNNAGAUAUUUUACNUUCGUUCGUAAGACGCUCCGCANCCGCCACUACUUUUAAGGCACGCCCUUUUUAGGGGGCGAAAAC
This 740-nucleotide ribosomal RNA is filed under the name Psora decipiens. RNAcentral's name for it is "partial 26S ribosomal RNA". Lineage: Eukaryota; Fungi; Ascomycota; Lecanoromycetes; Lecanorales; Psoraceae. The record is from RNAcentral.